This 393-nucleotide ribosomal RNA is filed under the name uncultured bacterium. Its description in RNAcentral is "bacterial SSU rRNA". It matches the Rfam family "Bacterial small subunit ribosomal RNA", at positions 62 to 481 of the family's 1533-position model. The record is from RNAcentral.
UCGAACGGAUUAUUCUUUAUAGCUUGCUAUGGAGGAUAAUUAGUGGCAGACGGGUGAGUAAUGCAUAGGAAUCUACCUAGUAGUAUGGGAUAGCCACUAGAAAUGGUGGGUAAUACUGUAUAAUCCCUGCGGGGGAAAGAUUUAUCGCUAUUAGAUGAGCCUAUGUUAGAUUAGCUAGUUGGUAGGGUAAAGGCCUACCAAGGCGAUGAUCUAUAGCUGGUCUGAGAGGAUGAUCAGCCACACUGGAACUGAGAUACGGUCCAGACUCCUACGGGAGGCAGCAGUGGGGAAUAUUGGACAAUGGGCGCAAGCCUGAUCCAGCUAUGCCGCGUGAGUGAGGAAGGCCUUAGGGUUGUAAAACUCUUUCAGUAGGGAAGAUAAUGACGGUACCUA